Molecule: ribosomal RNA, 265 nt
Filed under: uncultured Erysipelothrix sp.
Lineage: Bacteria; Bacillati; Bacillota; Erysipelotrichia; Erysipelotrichales; Erysipelotrichaceae
Description: partial 16S ribosomal RNA
Rfam family: Bacterial small subunit ribosomal RNA
Source: RNAcentral
ACCAUCAUUCAGUUGGGGACGUCUAGAGAGACUGCCGGUGAUAAACCGGAGGAAGGUGGGGAUGACGUCAAAUCAUCAUGUCCCUUAUGACCUGGGCUACACACGUACUACAAUGGCGCAUACAACGAGCUGCGAGAUGGUGACAUCAAGCGAAUCUCUUAAAAUGCGUCUCAGUUCAGAUUGGAGUCUGCAACUCGACUCCAUGAAGUCGGAAUCGCUAGUAAUCGCGGAUCAGCAUGCCGCGGUGAAUACGUUCUCGGGGUUU